Molecule: transfer RNA, 85 nt
Organism: Felis catus (domestic cat)
Lineage: Eukaryota; Metazoa; Chordata; Mammalia; Carnivora; Felidae
Rfam family: tRNA
About the family: Transfer RNA (tRNA) molecules are approximately 80 nucleotides in length. Their secondary structure includes four short double-helical elements and three loops (D, anti-codon, and T loops).
Source: Rfam
GCCUGAGUGGCUCAGUCGGUUGAGCGUCUGACUUCGGCUCAGGUCAUGAUCUCGCGGUUCGUGAGUUCGAGCCCCGUAUCGGGCU